CACCGGAGCUUGCUCCACCGGAAAAAGAAGAGUGGCGAACGGGUGAGUAACACGUGGGUAACCUGCCCAUCAGAAGGGGAUAACACUUGGAAACAGGUGCUAAUACCGUAUAACAAUCGAAACCGCAUGGUUUUGAUUUGAAAGGCGCUUUCGGGUGUCGCUGAUGGAUGGACCCGCGGUGCAUUAGCUAGUUGGUGAGGUAACGGCUCACCAAGGCCACGAUGCAUAGCCGACCUGAGAGGGUGAUCGGCCACAUUGGGACUGAGACACGGCCCAAACUCCUACGGGAGGCAGCAGUAGGGAAUCUUCGGCAAUGGACGAAAGUCUGACCGAGCAACGCCGCGUGAGUGAAGAAGGUUUUCGGAUCGUAAAACUCUGUUGUUAGAGAAGAACAAGGAUGAGAGUAACUGUUCAUCCCUUGACGGUAUCUAACCAGAAAGCCACGGCUAACUACGUGCCAGCAGCCGCGGUAAUACGUAGGUGGCAAGCGUUGUCCGGAUUUAUUGGGCGUAAAGCGAGCGCAGGCGGUUUCUUAAGUCUGAUGUGAAAGCCCCCGGCUCAA
This 562-nucleotide ribosomal RNA is filed under the name Enterococcus durans. RNAcentral's name for it is "bacterial SSU rRNA". It matches the Rfam family "Bacterial small subunit ribosomal RNA", at positions 71 to 612 of the family's 1533-position model. The record is from RNAcentral. Lineage: Bacteria; Bacillati; Bacillota; Bacilli; Lactobacillales; Enterococcaceae.